GACGAACGCUGGCGGCGUGCCUAAUACAUGCAAGUAGAACGCUGAAGGCGUAGCUUUCUUCUCUGGAUGAGUUGCGAACGGGUGAGUAACGCGUAGGUAACCUGCCUGGUAGCGGGGGAUAACUAUUGGAAACGAUAGCUAAUACCGCAUAAGAGUAGAUGUUGCAUGACAUUUGCUUAAAAGGUGCAAUUGCAUCACUACCAGUUGGACCUGCGGUGGAUUAGCUAGUUGGUGGGGUAACGGCUCACCAAGGCGACGAUACAGAGCCGACCUGAGAGGGUGAGCGGCCACACUGGGACUGAGACACGGCCCAGACUCCUACGGGAGGCAGCAGUAGGGAAUCGUCGGCAAUGGGCGGAAGUCAGACCGAGCAACGCCGCGUGAGGGAAGAAGGUUUUCGGAUCGUAAAGCUCUGUUGUAAGAGAAGAACGAGUGUGAGAGUGGAAAGUACACACUGUGACGGUAUCUGACAAGAAAGGGACGGCUAACUACGUG
Molecule: ribosomal RNA, 495 nt
Filed under: uncultured bacterium
Lineage: Bacteria
Description: partial 16S ribosomal RNA
Rfam family: Bacterial small subunit ribosomal RNA
Source: RNAcentral